RNAcentral lists this transfer RNA (72 nucleotides) under Ovis aries (sheep). It matches the Rfam family "tRNA". Rfam says of the family: Transfer RNA (tRNA) molecules are approximately 80 nucleotides in length. Their secondary structure includes four short double-helical elements and three loops (D, anti-codon, and T loops). Further hydrogen bonds mediate the characteristic L-shaped molecular structure. tRNAs have two regions of fundamental functional importance: the anti-codon, which is responsible for specific mRNA codon recognition, and the 3' end, to which the tRNAs corresponding amino acid is attached (by aminoacyl-tRNA synthetases). tRNAs cope with the degeneracy of the genetic code in two manners: having more than one tRNA (with a specific anti-codon) for a particular amino acid; and 'wobble' base-pairing, i.e. permitting non-standard base-pairing at the 3rd anti-codon position. The record is from Rfam by way of RNAcentral. Lineage: Eukaryota; Metazoa; Chordata; Mammalia; Artiodactyla; Bovidae.
CCCCUGGUGGCUCAGACGGUAAAGCGUCUGCCUACAAUGCGGGAGACCCGGGUUCAAUCACUGGCUGGGGAA